Quercus robur (English oak) is the source of this 1188-nucleotide long non-coding RNA. RefSeq lists it as uncharacterized. The record is from RefSeq and is a predicted model, not a curated record. NCBI's taxonomy places the organism in Eukaryota, Viridiplantae, Streptophyta, Magnoliopsida, Fagales, Fagaceae. The transcript has 6 exons.
UCUCUCUUCUUUUCCCCUAGCUCUCUCUCCCUUUUCUCACUCUCCCCUCACACCGUCACCACCACCCUCAAGCCGCCACCACCUGGCUCCGCCACACUCCCUCACGCCGGCACCACCCUCACGCUGCCGCACUCCUUAACGCCGUCGAUCUCCCACUCGUUUACACUGCCGGUUGCCUAGACACCGCUCUAGUCUAGCCUAGCCACCACCCACCACACCGCCCAAGCCACCGCGGCCAUCGUCGACCUCCAUACCCAUUCCUAGUUGAGACUUUGAGAGAUUUUGAGGAAAUAGCUAUAAAUUUUGACAUGGACGCUUGGACCAACAAGAAGUAGGAAGUCUUCUUCUUCCUCUCCUCUGACUCUGGGUCUAAGGAUCUUGCUUUGGUAAACAAGAACAGUCGUUCCAAGCAAAAAAAUGUACAUACUGGUGGUUCAAAAAACUUUGCUUCGUACGCAGAAGAAAUGGUAACAACGCUUGGGCGUCCUGUAGAGUGUGCAGAGAGGUAUAUGUAAAACUCCAUCUUCGUAAAGAUGGUACUCCUGUUAACACUGAAGCAGAAAGCAACAUUGAAAAAAUCAACGAACUGUUGAGUGAGUCCUCAAAUCGUGUGCAAUCAUCCGACCUUACUGGAAGUAUUGCAUGGGCACUAGAUGAUAUAUAUGCUCAAGUGUUUGGUAAUGAGCGCAAUGGUCAUGUUCGAGGUGUGGGAUUUGGCCCAACCCCAAGUAUGCAUCCUGCCAAGAGCACUCCUGCAAUUGCUCAAGUAAGAAGCCAAGAAAGGGAUGCUAAAGUAACUCAAUUAGAGAAUCAAGUGGCUUCUUUGACGGAGAAAGUGGAUCGUUAUGAAAACUUGGAGGAGCGAAUGACUCAAUUGAUGCAACUAGUGCAAAAUCAGCAAAAUCAUUCUUCAGAAGCUAGUCAGGGUGGUUUCGGUUUACACCAUUAAUCUCCAACUCCUUACAGAUCACAGGCUUCAUCCCAUCAAGAAACUAGCAUAUAGCAGUACAUACAGUGUUUUAAGGACUUCAUGGGCUAUUACAUAGUUGUUUGAACAACCACAAUUAUUUUGGAACUAUUGUACUUUGUUUAUAAUAUUGUCAUAGUUUUGGUGGUUGUUUUUUUUUUGUAUAGGUAGACAAGUGUUCUAUUACAACCACAUAUAUUUUGGAAGUAUUGUACUUUGUU